GACAGAGGGGGCAAGCGUUGCUCGGAAUCACUGGGCGUAAAGGGCGCGUAGGCGGGAUGGCAAGUCAGUCGUGAAAUCUCUCGGCUCAACCGAGAAACGUCGGCUGAUACUGCCGUUCUUGAGGGAUGCAGAGGAGACUGGAAUUCCCGGUGUAGCGGUGAAAUGCGUAGAUAUCAGGAGGAACACCGGUGGCGAAGGCGGCCCUCUGGACGGUGACUGACGCUGAGACGCGAAAGCGUGGGGAGCAAACAGG
Molecule: ribosomal RNA, 253 nt
Filed under: uncultured bacterium
Lineage: Bacteria
Description: partial 16S ribosomal RNA
Rfam family: Bacterial small subunit ribosomal RNA
Source: RNAcentral